RNAcentral lists this ribosomal RNA (198 nucleotides) under uncultured bacterium. RNAcentral's name for it is "partial 16S ribosomal RNA". It matches the Rfam family "Bacterial small subunit ribosomal RNA", at positions 328 to 539 of the family's 1533-position model. The record is from RNAcentral.
ACGCUCGACACCUACGGGGGCAGCAGUGGGGAAUAUUGCACAAUGGGGGAAACCCUGAUGCAGCGACGCCGCGUGAGUGAAGAAGUAUUUCGGUAUGUAAAGCUCUAUCAGCAGGGAAGAAGAUGACGGUACCUGAGUAAGAAGCCCCGGCUAACUACGUGCCAGCAGCCGACGGUAAUCUGAGGCGGCUGGCAAGGC